Schizosaccharomyces pombe (fission yeast) is the source of this 293-nucleotide non-coding RNA. The record is from the annotation of a GenBank genome assembly. Lineage: Eukaryota; Fungi; Ascomycota; Schizosaccharomycetes; Schizosaccharomycetales; Schizosaccharomycetaceae.
GUUUCAACUGGAGGAACGGGGUUAUUUGUAAGUGCUUUUCCAGUUUUAGGGUCAACGGGUAUCGGCUUACUAUUCUGACUUUGAACAAUCGCCAUUGCUUGAUGUCCAGAUAAAAAGUCUGGAUGAACAGUGUUUAUAUAAGAACCUUCCAUGGCAACCAUAUCCAUUACAAGGGUAUUAGUGGGUUGCAUACAUUUUCUAAAGAAACCAAUAACAACCUUGUAAAAUUCAUCUUUCAAAAGAGGAUAACGUUUAAAUAUGGGACGUUGAAGCAAUUGAUUUAAAAUACGGAC